AGAGUUUGAUCCUGGCUCAGGACGAACGCUGGCGGCGUGCUUAACACAUGCAAGUCACGGGGGCCCGCAAGGGCAACCGGCGAACGGGUGCGUAACACGUGAGCAACCUGCCGAUCUGAGGGGGAUAGCCGGCCCAACGGCCGGGUAAUACCGCAUACGUUCUCAAAGAGGAGUCUCUUUGGGAAAAAACCUCCGGGGCAGAUCGAGGGGCUCGCGGCCUAUCAGCUAGUUGGCGGUGUAACGGACCACCAAGGCAAUGACGGGUAGCUGGUCUGAGAGGAUGGCCAGCCACAUUGGGACUGAGAGACGGCCCACACUCCUACGGGAGGCAGCAGUGGGGGAUCUUGCGCAAUGGCCGAAAGGCUGACGCAGCGACGCCGCGUGUGGGAUGAAUCAUUUCGGUGUGUAAACCACUGUUGCCCGGGACGAACAUCCUCUUUCGAGAGGACUGACGGUACCGGGUGAGGAAGCACCGGCUAACUCCGUGCCAGCAGCCGCGGUAAUACGGAGGGUGCGAGCGUUGUCCGGAAUCACUGGGCGUAAAGGGCGCGUAGGUGGCCUGUGGAAAGUCUGCGGUGAAAGCCCGGCGCUCAACGCCGGGUCGGCCGUGUAUACUCUCGGGCUUGAGCUUACUAGAGGCAGAUGGAAUUCCGGGUGUAGCGGUGGAAUGCGUAGAGAUCCCAGAAACACACCGGUGACGAAGGC
This 705-nucleotide ribosomal RNA is filed under the name uncultured bacterium. RNAcentral describes it as "bacterial SSU rRNA". It matches the Rfam family "Bacterial small subunit ribosomal RNA", at positions 8 to 722 of the family's 1533-position model. The record is from RNAcentral.